AGCGGAGUUAACCGAAGAGGGGGUCGAGGAGAGCCGGAGUCGGGGACCCAGGAGUUUCCUGUGUCCAGCGCUGCCGGAGCCGCCUGAGAUGGAGUCUUGCUCUGUUGCCCAGGCUUGAGAGCAGUGGUGUGAUCUCGGCUCACUGCAACGUCCGCCUCCCAGGUUCAAGUGAUUCUCCUCCCUCAGCCUCCCGAGUAGCUGGGAUUACAGGCGCGUGCCACCACGGCUGGGUGACCAGCACCCAUGCAGAAACUACCUAGAAGUUGCCAAGCUAUCAGUCAACUCAGCAUACAAAAAGAAACUUACCAUUCUAAGGAUCUUAGAAGUUGUAUGCCAGGAAAUGGGAUGAAGACCAAAUGUGCCAUGUUUCAGAACAGAGUAAGACCCCUGGUAAAGAAGAACUGAAGAUAUUAUACAGAUACCAGAUAUAGCCUAAUUACAAAGAAAGCAUUAACCUGCCUCUGAGGUGACUAAAGGGGAAUAAUGGUGAUUUUGC
RNAcentral lists this long non-coding RNA (496 nucleotides) under Homo sapiens (human). RNAcentral's name for it is "non-protein coding lnc-SLC38A7-2:4". Lineage: Eukaryota; Metazoa; Chordata; Mammalia; Primates; Hominidae. The record is from RNAcentral.